AAACGACUCUCGGCAACGGAUAUCUCGGCUCACGCAUCGAUGAAGAACGUAGCAAAAUGCGAUACUUGGUGUGAAUUG
This 78-nucleotide ribosomal RNA is filed under the name Homogyne alpina. RNAcentral's name for it is "partial 5.8S ribosomal RNA". It matches the Rfam family "5.8S ribosomal RNA", at positions 1 to 74 of the family's 154-position model. Rfam says of the family: 5.8S ribosomal RNA (5.8S rRNA) is a component of the large subunit of the eukaryotic ribosome. It is transcribed by RNA polymerase I as part of the 45S precursor that also contains 18S and 28S rRNA. Functionally, it is thought that 5.8S rRNA may be involved in ribosome translocation. The record is from RNAcentral. Lineage: Eukaryota; Viridiplantae; Streptophyta; Magnoliopsida; Asterales; Asteraceae.